This 5083-nucleotide long non-coding RNA is filed under the name Homo sapiens (human). RNAcentral describes it as "HSALNT0083430". The record is from RNAcentral. Lineage: Eukaryota; Metazoa; Chordata; Mammalia; Primates; Hominidae.
CGGCAGCCUCUGCAUCUCCACCCUGGGCCUGUGGGACCACGCGGGGCUCUCAGACGGCUUCCCACUGGCUGUGGGCUGAAGACAGGAGGGAGGUGCGCAGAGAUGAGGAUGAGGUGCCCUAGGAGGGGCCCCUCUCCAGCCUGGAGUGUCCACUGCAAGUGGAGUCCUAGACGGCGGUGGGCAGCCAGUAGUCACUAAAGAGUCUGACACGACAUGUCACAAGCCCUGCCCGGAACCCUGUUCCCACAAAUGGUGGGGAAGGACCACCCCUGGUCUCCAGAAAUGAAUCUGAAAAUUCGCUGGUUUGGGAGCCGUGAGAGCAGCUCCGUCAUUUGUUCGACCCCCGUUCAGGGAGUAUUUCCUGGGAGCCUCUAAGUGCAUCUGCGGAGAAGGCUGGAAAGCAGGGCCCUGCUGGUCCAGAAGCUCUGACCAGCGGGAAGCUACUGGAGCCCAGCGUGGUCCCGCAGGCCCGGGGUGGAGACUCAGGGGCUGGUCGGUGCCACUCGUGGUCCCCCAGGCCAGAGCAGCCCAGGCCUCUGCUGGAAACUCAAGCGCUCUCUGAUUUAAAUGAAGACGCCUUGAAGAGCUCCGGCUGUCCUGGAUGGAUGAAGCAGCAUAGGCAUGACUUGGAAGGAUGUGCGGUGGAAGGGGGGUCGCUUCACUGCCAAGAAACCCUUCCUGAGUCUUCUGGAAAUUUCAGGAAAGGCUGCUCAUCCCAGGAGGCUGAAAAAGUAUGGCUGUGUGUUGGGUGGGCCUAAUGCAGGGCAGCGGCCAGGCUGGCACUCAAGUGUGUGUGUGUGUAUGUGAGUGUGAGUGCAAGAGUGUGUGUGUCUGUCUGUGAGUGUGUGAGACUGUGUGUGACUGUGUGUCUGUGUGUGAGAGUGUGUCUAUGAGUGUAUGUCUGUAAGAGUGUAUGUAUGAGUGUGUGACAGUGUGUGUGAGCAUAUGUGAGUAUGUAUGUGUGUCUGUGAAAGUGUGAGUGUGAGUGAGCAUGAGUGCGUGUCUGUGAGAGUGUGUAUGUGAGAGUGUGUUGUGUCUGUGAGAGCAUGUGUGUGAACGUGUUUAUGUAUGUGAGUGUGUAUGCAUCUGUGAGUGUGUCUGUGAAAGUGUGUGUGAGGAUGAGUGUGUGUCUGUGAGCAUGUGUCUGUGAGAGCAUGUGUGUAUGUGUGUGAGUGUGUAUGUAUCUGUGAGUGCGUCUGUGAAUGUGUAUAUGAGUGAGCAGGAGUGUGUGUGUGGUCUGUGAGUGUGUGAGCGUGUGAGAGUAUGUAUUUGAUUGUGUAUCUGAGACUGUGCAAGUGUGUGUGUGCCUGUGUGCAAGUGUGAGUGUGUGUGUCUGUGUGUAAGUGUGAGUGUGUGUGAGUUUGUGUGUUCAUAUGUGAGUUUAUCUUCCGUGAGAAUUUUAGGCGAAACUGAGGAGAACCGCAGUCAUCUGACGUUGUCAUGAUGGCUGAAGUCCAGGUCUCAGAUCUGGGUGGAAGCACUGGGUCUGAAUAGUGACCAUCUCAUCACAGUUGUCUCCUGAGACUCCCAUUCCCGGGAAGGAGAGUACUUGCCAGGGAAGCCAGCAGCACUCUGGGCGAACGUGUGCCCCUCAAGAGUGGCCGCAGGCUGUAGCAGGAUCCAGAGGAGAGGCGGGGCCGAGGCCCAGUCAGGGUCUCUGCAGGGUCCCUGCAGAGGCAGGGCCUCUGGGAGCCUGGGGGACCCGGGACAGGGAGGUGAAGGAGGAGUAACAGCAGGUGCGAGGCACCAAUGGCCAAUGUGGAAAUUAUGAGUGGGCGCUCCAGCUUCGUCUGCUGAGACCUCUCGCUCACUUCUCUGCGUCUUCACCCUUCCCCUCCUCCCCGGCGCCCCUGCCCUCUGUUAAUGCCAUUAACAGUGGGCGUUAUGUGUGGCACGGCAAGGCCAUGCUCUAAAACACGCGCCUGGGUCCUGAUGAGCCUGCGCUCUCCCUGUGUUUUGGGCGCUGCCUUCAGAGCAUGUUGGUAGUGAGAUGUGGAAGGCCACGCAGCUGUAGUGCACUCACUGUCGCAGCCUAACGGUGCCACACGGACCCGUAAGAGGACGCACAACUGUCAGCUGACUCCGUCACUGGGAAAAACAACACGACAGGGUCUCACUCUGCUGCCUAGGCUGCAAUGCGGUGGCACGACCAUGGCUCAGUGCGUCCUCAACUCCUGGGCUCAAGUGAUCCUCCCACCUCGGCCUCCUGAGUAGCUGGGACUACAGUUGCACACCACCAGAUCCGACUAAUUUGCAGUUCUGUCCGGCGUACAGUGUGAGAUGGGAAUCAACUUUUGUCUUCAUCCAGAUGAGACUUUUAUGUCAGUGAGAGGGAGAACACAAAUGCUGAUUUAAGGAAGUGUUGAAGGGCAUUUCCCCAAGUUGUUCUUUUCCUCUGAGGUAAUAUUUGAAUUUCUAAAAAAUAUCAACUUUAGUGUGCAUUUUUUGUGACUUCUUUUAAUACUAUUGGCAACAAACUCAUUGCUUUCUGAAGAAUAAAGGAAAAUAUCAUACUUUGAGUUAAAAAUGAUAGUUUUUCAUGGUGUAUAUUUGUGUGAUUACAUUUUAUUUCAUUUGUUCCUUAAAUCCCUUGUCUUAUGCCAAAAAUAGAUACAUUUAAUUUUGGAAAAAAAAGAGAAUUAACCCCCCACAGACAUCAAUCUGAAAGCAGAAUUUCCUUUUAUUAAAGCAAAAAGUUCCCAAGCAUGAGGCUGUAUGUUGAGCGAACACCUUUGACUGCUCUAAUUUCUCACUUCUCAAGAUUUCCUGAACUCGAUGGGGGACAAAAAGACCAAAACCAAACUUUGGAGGAAAUAAAAUUAAUAAUUUUUUUCUCUAAAGAAAACAUACUGAGCAUAUAUCUGUAUACGGUGCUAGUGACAAUCUUAUAAACCUCAAAAGACAACAAUUUUGCUUUCUUUUCUUUGUGCACAGGGGUUUUAAAACCUUACAAUGCUGGCCGGACGCGGUGGCUCAUGCCUGUAAUCCCAACACUUUGGGAGGUUGAGGCAGGUGGAUCACCUGAGGUCAGGAGUUCAAGACCAGCCUGGCCAACAUGGUAAAACCCAUCUCUACUAAAACUACAAAAAUUAGCCAGGCAUAGUGGCGAGUGUCUGUAGUCCCAGCUACUCGGGAGGCUGAGGCAGGAGAAUCGCUUGAACCCAGGAGAUGGAGGUUGCAGUGAGCCAAGCAAGAUCAAGCUACUGCACUCCAGCCUGGGCAACAGAGCGAGACUCCAUCUCAAAACAAACAAACAAACAGAAAAACUUUACAAUGCUGAUAAACUUAAAAAUUAUGAAACACAGCUCUUCUUGUCCUCCUGGGGCGCCCCCCAUCACCCCCAUCACAGCCCAGCCUUCUUCUGCUCCUCUCUGUUCUGAGGGAACUUCCCAUCCUUGUCUUUUUAUGGCCGUCUCAGCAUUUUCCCAGGUGUGUGGCUGUCCCUAAGUUAACCCCGGUUUAGCACACGGGAUGUGAUGCUGAGUGAUGGGAGUUCCUCAGAUAAAAGUGGCGGAUCUUCUUUGACUCAUCUUUUCCUUCCUCCCUCUCUAUCUCAAAUUAGAGUGAGAUCAAAUAUAGUGAAAAUGUUACUAGAGACUUUGGGUUUUAAAUCUCUGUAAACCCAGUGAAACACACUAUUUCUGGGGUGUGCACGAUGUGGUCAGUUAGUUACAAAUGCCUUUUUAUCUAGUGAGAGGUGUUUGGGCAAUCCAUGUGCACACAGAGGAGCGUUUCUGGUGAUUUGAUCAAAUCCAAGUGAGCUAGCUCGUUAGUACCUGUGGCAAGUUUAGAACUUCUGAACUCACAAACAUAUUAAGAAAUUUCCUAGGUUCACAGUGAUUUUUGGUAAACAUGAAUUUAAGUACCAAAAGAGGCAGAAUAAUAGUUUGCAAAGUUGUGUUUCCUUUGAGCUUCUGACUCAAAAGUUACAUCAAAGAUGUCCCUGCCUACCCUUAAUAUUUAAGUAAUGGAAUAAAGCUUAAGGGCCCCGAGACUCAGGAGGAUGCCCACAGGGAGAGGCAGGUAGCGCAGCACCUGGCAUUUAGUGGCUCAGCCCUGGAAUGCUAGAGCCUUGGGUUUUCCUUACAAUUGGGAUGGGAUUGGCCACACCUAUCAACAAUUUCUGUUCACUAGCCAAUUAUAAGAAGUUUAUGCAUGCCUAGACCAUUAAAAAAAAAGAAAAGAAACGUUCGGGGGGCCUGACUUUGUUAGCAUGGCCAAAUGAUCUGUUUUUAAUGUAAAUAUUUUGCUACAUUAAAGUUAUCAAAUCAAAGAUUCUGCUGUUCUUUUGUUCUAAAUAUUUUUGGAUGAUACUUUGGCAGAUGCAUGCCAGACAAGCUAUGUAAGACAACUUCAAGUGAUGUGGCCCUUUUUGGGAAUUCGUGGCGUUUGACUUGCCGAGGUUUGCAGGCUGAGAUGUGGUUAUAGGCAGAGAUGAGCAGCCCAGGGGAAGCCUGUGCUUUGCAUGAUGGCAUGGCCAGAUGAUCAGAUCCAUUCUUAUCUGAGAAGGGGAGAGAGAGGGAGGGAGAGAAAGAGAGGAGGGGAGGAAGGAGGACAGGGAGAGAGGCAGCAGAAAGGUGUAAGGAAGACCUCCUAGGACCUGGGUUAUCACUGCCCAGCUGCUGGGCCUCAUUACACUGAAGAUUGUGCAAUUACAUUGAUUUAUUGUUAGAAAAAGAUGUUUAGACUUCUGGGCUCCCCUGAUUUAGGAAGUGUGUGGGGGUGUUGAAGCGGGUGGCUAUGCGUUCUUCCAAGGAUUCAAACAUGCCCGAAUUUAGGGUUCAGGGUCAGGAACUGUGUAGCAAUGAGGGUGGGAGAACCUUUAUGGAGGGUGAACUGCAGAGAGCUCUGCUGGGCUGCUGAGACCAACCUUUCCAUGAAGAGAAGGAGAAAGAAGUCAGAAUCUGCAGCAGGACCGAGUUCCGGUGUGAACUGAGAGGUGUGCAAUUCUGCCUGAAAAAAGCCCCCUGCCCCAGUGUUGGGGACAGCCAUUACUCUCCACAGUGAACAGAAAGACAAACGCCCCGAACAAGACAGAAACAUUAGAAAAACUGAUUUUCCUCAAUGAAGAACGUUUUUAUCA